RNAcentral lists this non-coding RNA (29 nucleotides) under Homo sapiens (human). Lineage: Eukaryota; Metazoa; Chordata; Mammalia; Primates; Hominidae. The record is from RNAcentral.
UGAAAUCUGAUUCUCAAUGGGGGAACACC